Molecule: ribosomal RNA, 406 nt
Filed under: uncultured bacterium
Lineage: Bacteria
Description: partial 16S ribosomal RNA
Rfam family: Bacterial small subunit ribosomal RNA
Source: RNAcentral
AUUGAACGCUGGCGGCAUGCUUUACACAUGCAAGUCGGACGAGUGGCGAACGGGUGAGUAACGCAUCGGAACGUACCGAGUAAUGGGGGGUAACUGUCCGAAAGGACAGCUAAUACCGCAUAUUAUUCGAGCGGCCGAUGUCUGAUUCGCUGGUUGGCGGGGUAAAGGCCCACCAAGGCGACGAUCCGUAACUGGUCUGAGAGGAUGAUCAGUCACACUGGAACUGAGACACGGUCCAGACUCCUACGGGAGGCAGCAGUGGGGAAUAUUGGACAAUGGGCGAAAGCCUGAUGCAGCCAUGCCGCGUGUGUGAAGAAGGCCUUCGGGUUGUAAAGCACUUUCAGCGGGGAGGCGUUACCCGCAGAAGAAGCACCGGCUAACUCCGUGCCAGCAGCCGCGGUAAUUC